RNAcentral lists this ribosomal RNA (253 nucleotides) under uncultured bacterium. RNAcentral describes it as "partial 16S ribosomal RNA". It matches the Rfam family "Bacterial small subunit ribosomal RNA", at positions 524 to 776 of the family's 1533-position model. The record is from RNAcentral.
GACAGAGGGUGCAAGCGUUGUUCGGAAUCAUUGGGCGUAAAGCGCACGUAGGUGGUCUUGCAAGUCGGAUGUGAAAGCCCAGGGCUUAACCCUGGAAGUGCAUCCGAAACUGCUCGACUCGAGUCCCGGAGAGGAUGGCGGAAUUCCGAGUGUAGAGGUGAAAUUCGUAGAUAUUCGGAGGAACACCAGUGGCGAAGGCGGCCAUCUGGACGGAGACUGACACUGAGGUGCGAAAGCGUGGGGAGCAAACAGG